RNAcentral lists this unclassified non-coding RNA (317 nucleotides) under uncultured Ascomycota. RNAcentral describes it as "sequence contains ITS1". The stretch from base 1 to 105 matches the Rfam family "5.8S ribosomal RNA", at positions 50 to 154 of the family's 154-position model. The record is from RNAcentral. Lineage: Eukaryota; Fungi; Ascomycota.
GAAAUGCGAUAAGUAAUGUGAAUUGCAGAAUUCCGUGAAUCAUCGAAUCUUUGAACGCACAUUGCGCCCCCUGGUAUUCCGGGGGGCAUGCCUGUCCGAGCGUCAUUACAACCUUCAAGCACGGCUUGUGUGUUGGGCGGCCGUCCCUUAUUUUUAGGGGACGCGCCCCAAACGCAGUGGCGACGCCGCGUUACCGGCGCCUGAGCGAAUGGGAUUUCACCACCGCUCGAGGCCCGGCCGGCGCCAGCCUUGACAACGACCCUCGCGGGUCUUAACUGGUUGACCUCGGAUCAGGUAGGGAUACCCGCUGAACUUAA